AAAAACAUCGCCUUUGGAGGAAGAUCAUAAGGUUGGGCCUGCCCGGUGACUGUGAGUUAAACGGCUGCAGUACUCUGACUGUGCAAAGGUAGCAUAAUCAUUAGCCUGUUAAUUUCAGGCUGGAAUCAAUGGUUUGACGAUAGGAGAGCUGUCUCUUCUCAUAUUAUUUGAAUUUAGCAUUAAGGUGAAGAGACCUUAAUGAGGUAGCGGGACGAGAAGACCCUAUUGAACUUUAAUUUUGUUAAUGUUUGUGAAGAUGUUGGGAAAGUUUGAGUUGGGGCAACUGUUUUUAUUAAUAAGACAAAGAGUUAGAGAUUUAUUUCGAGAUUAGUGUGAGGACCCUAAUUAUUUAGGGAAAAGGAAAAAGUUACCAUAGGGAUAACAGCGUAAUUUCUUUUGAGAGUACGUAUUGACAAGGAAGUUUGCGACCUCGAUGUUGGAUCAAGACUACCUAAGGGUGUAGCGGCUCUUAAGGGUUGGUUUGUUCAACCAUGAAAGUCUUACGUGAUCUGAGUUCAGACCGG
Molecule: ribosomal RNA, 524 nt
Filed under: Ophiomyxa flaccida
Lineage: Eukaryota; Metazoa; Echinodermata; Ophiuroidea; Amphilepidida; Ophiomyxidae
Description: LSU rRNA
Rfam family: Bacterial large subunit ribosomal RNA
Source: RNAcentral